CCGACGAAAUAGGACACCGUGGAGAAGGAGGGGGGUGAAAUGUGCCGUUCCUCUUCGCCUCCACGCCUCUAGAUCUCCGCCUGUAUUCUCCCAGAACCGUUUCUACGUGGGCUGCGGCGAAAGGGAAAAAUGUCAGAUUCCAGCAGUGGCCGCGUCGCUCGCUUCCCCUCCUUCAGGAAUGGUGGUUGUCCCCCCCGUCUGCGCUUCGGACUUCAUGCGACCAUGUUGCCCUGAAUGUCGCCUGCUGCUGCUCUCAUCCGGGCGUUUAGGGAUUGAGCCGUCCGUCGUCUCAGCAGCGCUCAGGAUGACAGCUUUGGGAUGAAGGAGGAGGAGGAGGAGGGGGGAGUAGCGUGAGACAGGGAAGGAGAGAGAGAGGGGGAGAGAGAGAGGAGCAGUGGUCAAUCUGGUUCACGCUCACUGAUCAGACACAACAUUAAAACCACAAACAGACCAAGCAGAUGCCAAAGGCCCCACCCUGCAUCCCACAGGACCCAAAAGAUCUGCUGCCAACGUCUCAAAUCCAGACACCUCUGGAUGUCCCGUGUCCAUGCCCCGACAGCUGUCCUCCUCGUGCCCUGAAGGACUACCCAAUAAACACAAACAUAACCUCUCAAGCAGGUGAACCAGCUCGUCUCAAAUGCUUAGACGGAGAGUAAGUUCAGAGUAUUGAAUAAGAUGUCUGGAU
Amphiprion ocellaris (clown anemonefish) is the source of this 685-nucleotide long non-coding RNA. The record is from Ensembl. NCBI's taxonomy places the organism in Eukaryota, Metazoa, Chordata, Actinopteri, Pomacentridae.